GUAUGCCGUACCAGUGUCUCCACACUCUUUGGUUAAGAGGACAACCAAACCAUAUAGCGUACAGCGACCUAUGCUCGAUAGAAACUGUCGUCCUUAUUAAUAGCCUAUCAUUUGAUCGUGAAUAGUUUUAAGGACUAAUCGAUAAAUCCUUUCUUUAUCAAAUCUAAAUAGUCCUAAGGACUUCAUCACAACAAUGGAGU
Molecule: long non-coding RNA, 200 nt
Filed under: Elaeis guineensis (African oil palm)
Lineage: Eukaryota; Viridiplantae; Streptophyta; Magnoliopsida; Arecales; Arecaceae
Description: long non-coding RNA (EGUI_LNC080443)
Source: RNAcentral